AGGAGAGAAAAGAGGAGAGGAGAGAAGAGAAGAGGAGAGAAGAGAAGGGAAGGGAAGUAUUAUAGCAGCUAAAGAAUCAUGGGUAAGGCCAAAAUGCACGCCUUAAACACUCGCGGACUAUGAUUUGAACCUACUCUACGUCUCUCUCAUCCAUAAACCUGAAGAAUGCACCCAAUAAGCCACCUUGUAAUUUUAUCUAUACAAGGUGAUUCUUAUAGAAAAAUAAGCAAUCCAGCUUAUGGUUUUAAAGCUUUACUUAGUCUUUGAAUCUGGUUAUAAAUUAUAGCCUUUGAGCAUGUAACUUGCAAGAGCCACAAAAGCACACAGCUAUUGUUAGGACACGCGACUCUUUCUCGAAGGUUGCACCCUGGUACUGCCUUUGAGAGGGCACAGCCUUUCCCUCAGUAAACCCCAGUGUUGCUUUAGGUUAUCCUCUCCUGAAACUGUCUGCCGCCGUGCAAAUGCGGAGGCCCCCUCCACCUGAGUGCAGGGAACCCUGGGAACCGAUAGGAACUCCUUAGGUGACUUCUCACCCUGACAGUGCUGCAUCUGAUGCUUAGGUACAAUGCUUCAUCUAAAUAACUGAAGAUACCCCUAGCUAGGGUUGGCAUUAUCAACUGCAGUUUUAAAUAGGGAGACUAAAGAGAAGAACAGAGCUGGCUGGCCUAGGAUCCUCCAGACAAGAAGCCUAAGAAGGCUGCAUCUGUCUUUUAAAACUGCAGGCCCAGAGGCAGUGCCAUGGUCUCACCUCUACACAGGGGAUGCUAUGCUUUCGUUUCCCUUUGGUUCAUGUUUCUCCAGCACAAGUCUGAGAGGGAUGCACUGCUGCCCAGGCUGGGUACCUAAGCCAGUUGGCAAGUCUAUUCUAUGGCACCCCUCCCCCACAUCCUAUUCCAGCUCACUGUGCACCUUGCUUCUCUCCUAGGUCCCAAUAAAUGUCUUCUUAAAGUCCUAUCAGGGUCAUUUUCUUCUAGCAAUUCUUUUAUUUGGAGGAGCAAAAUACAAAGGCCAAAAGGGAUUGCACACCUCCCUGUUCCACCCCCUCACCAUAGUUGGUAGCACUGAGAUCUAGCACCAAGCCCUGAUGAGUGGCCCAUGAUGGAUGCUUAGACCAGCCAUGGCUGUAUUACCAUAGCAACUAAUAAUGCAGCUGCUGCUUGUGGGACCUUGUCAAUGACACUGCUAUGCCACUCUGGCUGUUUAUACCCAGUGAAACAAUUUUCCUAAGGUCAGUGACUUGCAUGGCACUUCCAGACAACGCUGUUCUCAUCCUCCCCCAUCUACAGACUUCAAACUGAUGAGAACUCUUGCCUCCUUUCUGUGGAUAAUGGCCAAGUGAGUCUCCCCCAGUGACACAGCCAUGGAAGACGUAGCUCGCAUUCCUUAAUGUACUUUUUGUGCCUUCCUCGGAAGAAGUUAUCAGUAGGCUCUGCUUCUCAUGUACUCAUGGAGAGAUAAGGGAGGAACGAUUAAAAAAGAAUAAAUGGGGAAGACCGUCUGUCUGUGGGCCAAACUUCUGGUAAAAGUGUAUUGUGAACUACGUGUGGGUUGUGCAUGCAAAGAGAGCUCCCAUUGCUAGAAGGAGCUGAAUGACAGGGGAGAACUUGCCUUGAUGCCUUGGUGUGUGGCUGGUUCCAUGUUAGAUCUGCCUAUGAGCAUUAGUCCUUUUAGUCCCCACAAUAAUCCCGAGAUGACCGAUGUGCCCAUUUUUAUACACUAGGAAACUGAGCAUGAUGACAGCCCUAAGAGCUCACAGUUGAUACAGAGUCGGCAGACAAAUCUGAACAGCCCGAACGAAGGCCAGCAGGCCAAGCUUGCCACUCGACUCUCCAAGUUCAGGAGUACACACACACACACACACACACACACAAGUACAGCACAAGGUCCUACACUGCAAGCUCUGGUUUGGCACUAAUGUACCCCCCUUGAGUUCCUCUCCUUUCCUGGAAGCUUCUUAAACAUUCAUUAUGCUCUUUACGGCCUUUUUUUUUUUCCCCCUUUCUCAGCCUCUCCAGUCUCUCAGGCAAAUGUGCAUUCACACAUUUUCACGGUGCAUUAUUUUGCCCGCUAAAUAUGCGUUGAACACAAGAUGCUGUCACUGAAAGCGGCAUGGCGGGCCGGCAGGAUCCACAAUGUCAUUCUGGAGGCCCUACUGGGACCCAUCACAUUGGCCCUGCCGGUUUGGCAAUCACUUCUCGGCUGUUCGAAGAGCUUGAGUGAGACCUUUAAAUGUCUCUUUUGGGUUUCUCCUAGGGAAUUUGCUGUUACAACUGUCAGAGACUGACAGCAGCAGUCAACGAGAAAAUGUGUAGAGAAGUCACUUGCAGCUUAUGAUAUACACAUAGGGACCUGCUGCCUAGAGUAUCUACCCUGUCUCGUUAAGUCAAGCCUAAUCAAAGAUCCUAGCAUGCUUAGAGAAGGGGGAGGGCAGAGUAUCAAGUGGAAAAACUCCAAACUGGACCCCAGGGGGACAGCAAAACGGGACUUUUGAGCUUGCAUUGUAGGGGGUGUGUCCAUUCAAAUGCAUUUUUCUGUCUGAUCAGGGACCCUUCUUCUGGGUCAGUUGAACAGGGAAUCUAAAUAGGUAUAUGUACUAUCUCAGGGCAAUCUUGAAAUCAUCUGUUUCUCAUUUUUGGCAUAACCCAGUCAAAAUCUUUCCUCAAGAAGCUGCCCCCUGCACAGCCUUGACACCACUUCUUUGGCGGUCACUCUUAUCUCUUGAACCACAGCGCAGAUCUAUCUGACUGCAGGUCACAAAAGAAGAGAAAUAACAAGUUUGUUUGACAGGUCAGACAAGUGGAAAAGCAGAUAGGAUGGGAAGAAAUAUACUCAUUUCAAGGAGUCCAGUAGACCCCAAGGGAGCGACACCACCACCAUGCCAUGGUCCUUACCAAAAGGAAGAUGCGAGGUUCAAGCUGAAGGUGGAAUACAGUAUUGGAAGCACCAAACCUGGUUGUAAGACUUGCUUCAGGUGGCCUCCUUAUGUCUCACAACAAUACUUUGAGGACCUGGAUGUUGGACCUGGAUGCACCAUGUAGUUAAGGAUGAUCUUGAUCUCUGGAUCCUUUUGCCAUCACUAUAUCUCAAGAGAUGCGAUUAUAGGCUUGUGCCACUGUGUCUGGCCUAUUGCAACCCACGGAUGUUGCCUGCACAGAAAACAUUAGCAGAAGCUUCAGAUUGCUCCAGAGGACAUUAUUUCUUGUAUAUUGGCAAAAGCAACACACAUGCUCUCUAACCUGUUCCCAGCCUCUCCAGCGGAUUCUGCCUGAGGAGCAAGGUAAUCAGCUCCUGAGCGUCUGGAGGAGGGGCCUCGUCCUUUUCAGGCCAGUUGAUUUCAUCUGCAAGGAAGAGAAGAUGUCUACAGCUUUAUUGUUCAAAGGGCAGAACCAUGGGCCCCCAUCCCAGAAACACGGAGACCAAACCUACAUUUAAAAUCUUUAGUUGACUUCUAUGUGGUAUAAGAUAAUACUUAUAUUAUUAUCUUAUAGGGCCCGGACAGCCCGGUUUCUUCAAGGUCUAUUUCAAGAAACUAUUUCAAUAAACUGGACCAUUCGUUCA
This is a long non-coding RNA of Mus musculus (house mouse), 3558 nucleotides long. RefSeq annotates it as predicted gene 17160. Lineage: Eukaryota; Metazoa; Chordata; Mammalia; Rodentia; Muridae. The transcript has 3 exons. The record is from RefSeq and is a predicted model, not a curated record.